GGCAUCGUAGCUCAACGGACAAGAGCAGCUGCCUUGUAAGCAGUUGGUUGUAGGUUCAAAUCCUGCCGGUGCCUCCA
Molecule: transfer RNA, 77 nt
Filed under: Olavius sp. associated proteobacterium Delta 1
Lineage: Bacteria; Deltaproteobacteria
Description: tRNA-Thr-TGT
Rfam family: tRNA
About the family: Transfer RNA (tRNA) molecules are approximately 80 nucleotides in length. Their secondary structure includes four short double-helical elements and three loops (D, anti-codon, and T loops).
Source: RNAcentral